Molecule: long non-coding RNA, 5329 nt
Organism: Sarcophilus harrisii (Tasmanian devil)
Lineage: Eukaryota; Metazoa; Chordata; Mammalia; Dasyuromorphia; Dasyuridae
Source: Ensembl
CACAAGUGCUAUUUCCUGCGUAGGACAGCUGGGAUGAAAGUGAUAUUUAAAAGCUGGUUUGAGUAAGUGUUGAAUAGUUGCAACAUACACAUAUCCCUUGUUAACACUGAAUAGCUAAACAUAAUCUUUAUACUUUACAUAUAUUGUCUCAUUUAGUUUUUAUAACAAUCUUGUGGAAGGAGAUGCUAUUAUUAGUCCUACUUUACAGAGAAGGAAAUUGAGGCUUAAAAGUUGUGAUUUGGCCAAGUCACACAUCUGAUAUCUGAGACAGCAUUUGAAUUCAGGUCUUUUUCAUAUGCAAGUCCUGGCUGCCUCAGUCCUGAUAAUAUCCUCAAGUUGACAUAAGUUCAUCAAGGGAUCUCUCUCUUCAGAAUUUAUUGCCUUACCCUUUAAUUUUCUGCUUUGCCUGCUACACCAAACCUAGAUUGUCCUCCUUUAGUUUCUUCAGCUCUUGAACUUCAGUAGUAUUAGAAUGAGAUUCAAAAUGUAGAAGAUUCAUGCUGUCCAUCAGUCAUGCCCUUGUCACAAUAAUAGGUUGAAAACUAGUUAUUUACCAGAUUCUUAAAAGAAAUUCUUCAUACCACCCAAGAUCCUAAUUUUCCAUUCUUCUACUAAGAAUCUCCCAGUUUCUGAACUCAAAACCUUGAACUGGUUGUUGAACCUUUUUCUUGGCCUCAAUAUAUCCUUUUCUUUAUAGCUAUCUUCUUUAUAUCCUAGAUAUCUCCACUGAUACCUGAAGAAAUUCACUUCCUAGGUUUAUUAUUUCCUUCAGCAAUAAUUUCAAUCUGUUCCCAUCCAGUAAUUCCCCUCUUUACCUUCAAUAAAGCACAUUGCUUAAAUCUUUAAAAAGCUAACAAUACUUGCUUUAUCUUGUACCCCUCACUACCUUUCCUUACUGCCUAACAUCUUUUAAAAGUACUUUGCUUUCCUUGUUAUUCUCUUUAAAUCCCUGUAGGUCUAGAUUGCCCUCACUACUCUUUGGAAAGUUCUUAAAAAUCUUGAUAGCUGUCCAAUAGCCUUUUCUUGAUCUUCUACGGUGUCCCUAUUCUGGUUGUACCUUUUGAGCAUUCUAGUAGCAUCUUUGGGAGUGGUGAUUCCAGCCAGAAGCAGAUGGAUUUACAAGAGAAUUCUAUCAAACACUUAAAAACAAUUCUAAUGCCACAUGAAUUGCUUGGGAGGGAAAGGUAAAGAAAUCAAAUUUCUCUUAUAAAAUAUAAAUACAGUGUUGAUGCCUAAACUAGGGAAACUCAAAAUAGAAAACUACAGACCAAUUUUAGUGAAGAUUUUAAAUGUCAGCAAAUGGACCACAGAAAUAUGAAACAAAAAUUAUAUGCUAUGGCCAGGCUGGAUUUAUGCCAGGAAUGCAAAGCUGGUUCAAUAUAGGAAAAUUAUUGUUAUAAUUGACCAUUUCGAUAACAAAAUUAACAAAUGAUUACCUCAGUAGAUGUAGAAAAAAGUUUUUGGUAAAAUAUAGCAACUGUUAUUAAAAACACUAAAGCGUAUUGGAAUCAAUGGAGUUUUCUUAAAGCCAUCAGCAAACAUAAUGGGGAUAAAGUAGAAACCUCCCCAGUAAGAUCAAAGAAACAAGGAUGCCCAUUGCCACUUCUAUUAAAUAUUGUGCUAGAAAUGUUAGCUAUAACAAUGAGAAGGGAAAAAAAGGAAUUAGAAUAGACACUGCAGAUGAUCAAAGGAUAUACUUAGAAAAUAAAAAAAAAAAAACCUAUUAGUAACAACUUUAGAAAGGUUUUAGGAUAUAAAAUGGACCCAUGUAAAUCCAGCAUUCCUAUAUGUUACCAACAAAGCCCAGCAGUAAGAAAAAGAAAUCCCAUUUAAAAUACUAAAUAGUAUAAAAUAUCUGGGAGUCUACCUGCCAAGAAGAAAAGUGCUUCACACAAAUAGUUCUAAACAAUUGAAAGAAUACCCAUUGGCCAUAGGUAAGCCAACCUAAUAUAAAAAUGACAAUUCUACCUAAAUUAAUCUACUUUUUCAAUGCCAUACCAAACUGCCAAGAAAUUAUAGAGCUAGAAAAUAACAAAAUUCAUCUAAAAAGACAAAAGGUUAAUAUCAAAGGAAUAGGGGCAGCUAGGUGGUGCGGUGAAUAGAGCACCAACCCUGAAGUCAGGAGGACCAGAGUUCAAAUUUGGUCUCAAGACACUUAAUACUUCCUAGCUGUAUGAUCCUGGACAAAUGGCUUAACUCUAAAUGCCUCGGCAAAAAGGAAUUAAUGGAAAAAAUGCAAAGGAAAAUAGUGUAGCUGUACCAGGCCUAAAACUAUAUUAUGAAGUGGUAGUCAUCAAAACUAUUUGAUACUAAGAAAUAAAAGCAUAGUGGAUCCAUGGAAUGGGUUAGGUACACAAUGCACAAUAGCCAAUGGCUACAGUAAUUUAGUGUUUGUUAAACCCUAAGACUACAGAUUUGGGGAUAAGAACUCACUUUGACAAAAAUUGCUGGGAAAACAGGAAAAUGGUGGCAAAAACUAGGAAUUGACCAACAUGACACCCUACACCAAGAUAAGGUCACAAUUAGUAGAGCAAGGGGAUUAUCUACUUGUCAGAUCUGUGGAGAAAGGAAUUUAUGGCCAAAAAAGAAUUAGAGAACAAUCUGAAAUACAAAAUAGAUAAAUCUUGAUUGUAUUAAAAAGAUUUUGCACAAACAAAACUAUUGCAGCCAAAAUUAGGAAGCAAAAAGCUGGGAAAUGAUUUUUAUAGUAGGCCGAGACCUCAUUUCUGAAAAUAUAUAAUGAGGAUAGAAGUCAUUUUUCAAUAGAUAACUGUUCAAAGGAUAUGAACAAUUUUCAGAUGAAAUUAAAGCCAUUUGUAGUCAUAUGAAAAUGCUCUAAAUCACUAUUGAUAGAGAAAUGCAAAUUAAGACAACUCUAAGAUACCAUCUUAACCUCUCAGAUUGUAAGAUAUGUUGGAGAAUAUGUGAGGAAAGUGGAACACUACUGCAUUGUGGGUAGUUGUGAAAUGAUCCAACUAUUCUGAAGAGCAAUUUGGAACUGCCCAAAGGGUUAUAAAACUCCACGUACCUCUUUUAUCAGUGUCUUUACUGGGUCUAUCCAAAGAUACCAUAAAAAAGGGUACAUUAUUGAACCUGUGAAGAAGUACAACCAUUCUUUAAAGAAAUUUGAAAUCACAAAAAGUUUCUAAAUCUACACAUCAACUAGACCUAUAUUCAAAGGAGAUGAAGGAAAAAAGAAAAAAAAUAUUAUGGUAUGUGAAGGUACAUUUUUCUAUAAGAAAUGAUGAGCAGGUUGAUUUCAGAAAAGCCUGGAAAGACAAGAGAACAUAAUACACAGUAACAACAAAAUUACACGAUCAGCUGUGAUAAACUUGGCUCCUUUCAACAAUAAGAUGAUUCAAGGCAAUUCCAAUAGACUUGUAAUGGAAAGUGUUACAUGCAGAGACUGAAUGUGGAUCAUAAUAUUUUCACCUUUUAUUUGUCCUCCCUCCUUUUGAUCUUAUUUUUCUUACACAGCAUGAUGAAUAUGGAAAUAUGUUUAGAAGUGUACGUUUAACCUAUAUACAAUUGUUUGCUGUCUUGGGGAGGGAUGAGAGAAGGGAAGGAAAAAAAUUUGGAACAUAAGGUUUUGAAUGUUGAAUGUUGAAAAUUCUUUGCAUGUAUUUAGAAAAAUGAUUGAAAAAUAAAUUAAAAAUAAAAUAACUGUAGAAUACAAAAAUAUUUGGCAGUGUAGCUAUCAAAACAAAUUCAGGAACUAUGUAAAUACAAUUAUAAAAUACUUGAACAAAUAAAAUCAGAUAAUUGAGAAAAUAUCAAUGCUCAUGGGUAAACAGAUAAUACAAAAGUGAUAAUUUUGCGUAAGUUAAUUUACUUAUUCAGUACCAUACCAAUCAAACUACCAAAAAAAUUAUAGAACUAGAAAAAAAUAAUUUGAAACACAUUUGGAAGAAUACAAGGGAAUUGGUGAAAAAUAUGCAAAAGAAGGUGGCUUCUCGGUACAAGAUCUAAAACUAUUAUAAAGGAGCAAUCCAGAACUAUUUGAUACUAAGAGAGUGGUGGAUCAGUACAAUAGGUUAGGUAAACAAGACACAAUAAUCAAUGACUUCAGAAAUCUACUGUUUGAUAAGCCCAAAGAGUCCAGCUUCCCUGGAAUAACCCACUAUUUUAAAAACUGCUGGGAAUGCUGGAAAAAUACUAUGGCAUAGGGCAACAUCUUACACCAUAUACCAAGAUAAGGUUGAAAUGGGUAUAUGAUUUAGAUAUAAAAAGUGAUACCAUAAGCAAAUUAAAAGAGAAGAAAGUUUACCACUCAUAUAUGGAGAAGGGAAGAAUUUGUAACCAAAAAAGAGAGAACAUUAUGAAAUAAAAAAUGUGUAAUUUUGAUUAAUUUUAAAAGGUUUUGCAUAAGCAAAACCAAUGCAACCAAGAUUAGAAAGAAGCAGAAAGCUGGGAAACAAUGUUUACUUCUGAGAAAGGCCUCAUUUUAAAAUAUAUAGAGAACUUGAUCAAAUUUAUAAGACUACAAGUCAUUAUCCAGUUGGUUAUUGGUCAAAGGAAAUUCAGAUGAAAUUAAAGCUAUCUAUAGUCAUAUGAAAAAUGUUCUACAUUUCUAUUGAUUAAAAGAAACAACUGUGUUAACCACAUCAGAUUGGUUAAUAUGACAAAAUGGAAAUGACAAAUGUUGGAGAGGAUCUGAGAAAAUUGGAAUAUUGAUGCAUUUCUGAUGGAGUUGUGAACUGAUCCAACCAUUCUAGAGAACAGUUUGGAACUAUGUCCAAAGAGCUAUAAAACUCUGCAUAGCCUUUGAUCCAACAAUAACACUAUUGAGUCUGUCUCGAAGGGAUCAUUAAAAAUUAGAAAAGGACCCACCUGUACAAAAAUGUUUAUGGUAGCCCUUUUUUGUGAUGGUAAAGAAUGAGAAACUGAGGGGUUGUCCAUCAAUUGGGGAAUAGCCAAAUAUAUUGUAGUCUAUGGAUGUAAAAGAAUACUGUUGUAACUGUAAUAAAUGAAGUGAAUUUCAAAAAACCUGGAAAAACUUACAUGAACUGAUGCUGAAUUAAGUGAGCAGAACCAGGAGAACAUUGUGCAUAGUAACAGUAACACUGUACAAUGAUCAAUUUUGACAGACUUAACUUUUCUUAGCAAUACAAUGAUCUAAAAUAAUUCCAAAAGACUCAUAAUGGAAAAUGCUAUCCAAAUCCAGAAAAAGCACUGUGGAGUCUCAAUUACAAUUGAAGCAUACUACUUUUAUUUUUGUUUCUUUUGUUCUGAUUUUUCUUUAACAAGAUGAUUAGUAUAGAAACAUAUUUAAUAGCCUAUCUCAAAUUACUUGCUAUCUUGGGAAGAAAGGAGAAGAUGAAAAGGAGUG